Helianthus annuus (common sunflower) is the source of this 231-nucleotide long non-coding RNA. RefSeq lists it as uncharacterized. The transcript is spliced from 2 exons. NCBI's taxonomy places the organism in Eukaryota, Viridiplantae, Streptophyta, Magnoliopsida, Asterales, Asteraceae. The record is from RefSeq and is a predicted model, not a curated record.
ACAACACAGGAGACAAAAGGUCGACUCUCAAUUCUCAUUCAGGAUUUCAGUUUUUGUUCCUAAUAUCACAGUGAUUCGGAUUUCGGAAUCGGAGGUAUAUCAGUCGCACGGAAUCGGACUAUCGGACUAUUGGAGAAAUUAUGCCUCCCGUUCCUAAAUACAAAUACCCAUCCGGCCAUAAAAAACGUAAGAAGAGGAAGCUAGAGGAAGAGAAAAGAAAGGCGGACGACG